GACGAACGCUGGCGGCGUGCUUAACACAUGCAAGUCGAACGGUAAGGCCCUUCGGGGUACACGAGUGGCGAACGGGUGAGUAACACGUGGGUGAUCUGCCCUGCACUUCGGGAUAAGCCUGGGAAACUGGGUCUAAUACCGGAUAGGACCACUGCCUGCAUGGGUGGUGGGGGAAAGCUUUCGCGGUGUGGGAUGGGCCCGCGGCCUAUCAGCUUGUUGGUGGGGUGAUGGCCUACCAAGGCGACGACGGGUAGCCGGCCUGAGAGGGUGACCGGCCACACUGGGACUGAGAUACGGCCCAGACUCCUACGGGAGGCAGCAGUGGGGAAUAUUGCACAAUGGGCGCAAGCCUGAUGCAGCGACGCCGCGUGAGGGAUGACGGCCUUCGGGUUGUAAACCUCUUUCAGCACCGACGAAGCGCAAGUGACGGUAGGUGCAGAAGAAGGACCGGCCAACUACGUGCCAGCAGCCGCAGUAA
RNAcentral lists this ribosomal RNA (478 nucleotides) under uncultured bacterium. Its description in RNAcentral is "partial 16S ribosomal RNA". It matches the Rfam family "Bacterial small subunit ribosomal RNA", at positions 28 to 523 of the family's 1533-position model. The record is from RNAcentral.